Long non-coding RNA from Quercus robur (English oak), 1722 nucleotides. RefSeq lists it as uncharacterized. NCBI's taxonomy places the organism in Eukaryota, Viridiplantae, Streptophyta, Magnoliopsida, Fagales, Fagaceae. The transcript has 3 exons. The record is from RefSeq and is a predicted model, not a curated record.
UUUGUAGAUACGGUACCCACUUAUAGAUUUAACCAUUAAUUUCACUUGUCUUGAUUCAGUCCAGUGAUAUGAUUUUAAUGAAUUACCAAUUACCGGUCAAGAAGGUAACAUAUAAAGUCAAACACUCAAACAAAGGAAAAAACAGAUGUCUCUGUUUUUUUCUCUCUCGCCGUCUUGUGUUCUCUCUCUCUACUUCUCUGCUGCGUUCUUUCAAUUCUGCUCGUCGAUCUUCGCCGAUCUUCACCUUGUCUUCAUACAAAUCUCAGGUAACCACUCUUCAUACCUUUUCCCUGAGUUUAUCAUCAAGAUUUGGGUUUUUGAAUGGUGGGUUUGAUGAUUUAUUUCAAGUGAAGGCGAGAGUAGGAUAGGUUUUUUCUUCAUCCCUUUUCCCUGAAUUUAUUGUCAAGAUUUGGGCCUAUUUGAUUGGCUUUUUUUUUUCCUCUAGGAAUUUUCAGCACUAGCAUUAGGAAUGUUGUGAAAUAUGAACUGAAAUUCCAUAAUAGGCAGAUUCGGGUUUUGGAGAAGACACAGGGUUUUUUUGGUUAAAUUGAGUUUAACAUUGGUGAAUUUUCGGAAUUGGGUUUGUUUUAUAAGUAACUAAUUUUGUUGGUUAAGUUGAGCUUAGCUUGUCAGACCAUGUAAACUGAUUGGUGAGUUUUCAGAUACAAGUUUUGGGGAAGUAACUAAUUUUGUUGGUUAAAUUGAGUUUAGUUUUAUUGAGUGUGUGAAUUGGUGGGCGAAUUAUUGGAUUUGGGUUUUAGAGAAUUAACUUGUUUUGAUGAUUAGAUUGAGUUUAGUUCAUUUGUAUUUGCGUUGUGUGUGUUGUUUUGUUGAUUCAAUGUUUGUGUGGUUCAAUUCUUUUGCAGGUAGUAAAGGGGGAAGGAAACAUAUCAAGCUAUGCCCACGCACAUCCUAGUACUAAUGGAAGCAAAUGGUCUAGGGAAGAGAGAUUUAGGAGUAAUGCCAAUGGUUUUUUUUACACGAACAAGCGGUAGCAAAGCAGUGGUAUCAAUCAGGGUCGCGGUGACAUUGGAGUGCAUGAUUCUCGGAUGAAUCCAAAUGAUUUGUGUUUGAAACAGAUAAACAAAAGAAAGAUGAAGCGAAUUCCAAGGGUUUUUGAAGAGAGAAGGAAGAUGGCCAAAGUCAAAAGUUGUCAAAAACUAUUUAGCCUGCAAGGCAUAACAUGUAGCAGCAAAGGUCUGAUUAAAAGGACAUAAUUUUUUGUGGCGAAUGAUAGCUACAGAAAGACCUAGAUCCCCAAAUAGAAAUUUGAAAUCUUCUAUGGGACUCUCACCACAAAGAAAUUUCAAUGAGCUGCACCAAGAACCAUCGCUAAGGGCAACUGAUAAUUCAAGAGCUAGAUGGUUUUUAAGCAAUGAUGGUGCUUCUAGGCCAACAGGACCUUUAACUGUCAAAGGUCCUGAUACUUCAGAGCUAGUUAUGCAGCUUACGCAAAUAGGUGGCAUUGGGCUGAAAAGUUUUCAUCGGUAUAUUUUUUCCCCCUGCUGCCCUGUUUUAGCUUAAUUUAAGAGGGUUUGGUUUGUAUUUGUGAGGUUAUCUUGAUUAACGGUUGUGUAUAAUUCCUGUUGGUCAUUUAAUGUUAUGUAUUCAUCAUGCUCUUUUGAAUGGAAUUUUAAAAGGUGGAAGAAUCUCACACUGUCUGAGGUGGAAAUUUUAUUGUCUUCAAUAAUUAUAGCAUGUCUGAGGUGCAAAAUUUGUUUA